Molecule: ribosomal RNA, 597 nt
Filed under: Triticum aestivum (bread wheat)
Lineage: Eukaryota; Viridiplantae; Streptophyta; Magnoliopsida; Poales; Poaceae
Description: partial small subunit ribosomal RNA
Source: RNAcentral
AUGACUACCUUGGAUAUGACCAAAAAUAUUGCAUAUAUGCAUAUUUGUCAGGUGAUUUCUAGUGCAAACUAUUCAAUAAUCUAUUUAUGUUAUCCAGAACAAAAAUACUUCACACACUUUUGUGUUUUGCCUAAUUGCAGGUGUAUGGGACAUUUGUACAAUCCACAUAUGAAGAUAAGGAAGAAAGAGAUGUUUAUUUGCUGUCCAGAAAGUUCUCUCACGUCACUUUUGGCCCAAGAGAAGAUAGAGUCCAAGUCUCUCACGUUCUGGAUUCAGAUUCGGACUGCACAGACACACCUGACUCAAAACGCACACAAGUUUUUCAUACGGACUCCGAAUUGGGUGAUUCGUUUUUUGUUGGAAACUAGAUUUCGUGCACUUUCCAACCCAAUUGGAAUCACCUUCAAAUUCGUCCGGAGCGUUGAGUUGUGGACGAAACAAACUGAUGCUGCAGCAGAAUCUGAGUCAAACUACAAGUCCAAAGGUGUUACAUCACCUCCACUUGGGCCCAUUGGCCUUGUACGACCUAGAUUUAGUUUUAGGCUGCCUUGGGACGUCCUCCCACCUCCUUGGCCGCCACCCCUUGCUCCUAUAUAA